ACGGGGCGCAGCAGGCGCGAAACCUUCACAAUGUGCGAAAGCAUGAUGAGGGAAUCCCAAGUGCUGGCUCGUAAGAAUCAGCUGUUUUUCUGUCUAAAAAACAGAGAGAGUAAGAGCUGGGUAAGACGGGUGCCAGCCGCCGCGGUAAUACCUGCAGCUCAAGUGGUGACCGCUAUUAUUGGGCCUAAAACGUCCGUAGCCGGUUUAUUAAAUGCCCGGGUAAAUCGUGUAGCUUAACUAUACGAAUUCCGGGUAGACUGAUAAGCUUGGGACCGGGAGAGGCUAGAGGUACUCCUAGGGUAGAGGUGAAAUUCUGUAAUCCUAGGGGGACCACCAGUGGCGAAGGCGUCUAGCUAGAACGGGUCUGACGGUAAGGGACGAAGCCCUGGGGCGCAAACCGGAUUAGAUACCCGGGUAGUCCAGGGUGUAAACGCUGCUCGCUUGAUGUUAGUUGGGCUCCGAGUCCAAUUAGUGUCGGAGAGAAGUUGUUAAGCGAGCUGCCUGGGAGUACGUCGCAAGGC
RNAcentral lists this ribosomal RNA (521 nucleotides) under uncultured archaeon. RNAcentral describes it as "bacterial SSU rRNA". It matches the Rfam family "Archaeal small subunit ribosomal RNA", at positions 325 to 849 of the family's 1478-position model. The record is from RNAcentral.